RNAcentral lists this ribosomal RNA (591 nucleotides) under Pristimantis sp. QCAZ63482. RNAcentral describes it as "partial 16S ribosomal RNA". Lineage: Eukaryota; Metazoa; Chordata; Amphibia; Anura; Strabomantidae. The record is from RNAcentral.
CACAUAAAUUUCCCCUCCCCCYUUUAGAGCAAUUCAAAUAAGGUACAGCCUAUUUGACACAGGACCCAACCUUUACUAACGGGUAAUAUUAGUUUAUAUUUACAAGUAGGCCUAAAAGCAGCCACCUUUUAAAAAGCGUCAGAGCUUAACCACACGUACUCUAAUUUCUUAACCUAUCUAGACCCCUUCAACUGUACUGAGAACUUCUAUAAUACUAUAGAACCUUUUAUGCUAAAACUAGUAACAAGAGGCAACCCCUCUCCCCAAUGCAAAUUAAAGCCAGCAAGAAUCCACCACUGGCAACCAACAGGUCUAAACAAAAGUAGCAACUUCACUAGAAAACCCCACUUCCCACAACUGUUAACCUAACACCAGAGCAUUUCAAGAAAGAUUAAAAGAAAAAGAAGGAACUCGGCAAACAUUAGCCCCGCCUGUUUACCAAAAACACCGCCUCUUGCCCACAUAAGAGGUCCAGCCUGCCCAGUGACUCUUGUUCAACGGCCGCGGUAUCCUAACCGUGCAAAGGUAGCGUAAUCACUUGUCUUCCAAAUAAAGACCAGUAUGAAAGGCAUCACGAGGACUAAACUGUCU